Molecule: long non-coding RNA, 805 nt
Filed under: Aplysia californica (California sea hare)
Lineage: Eukaryota; Metazoa; Mollusca; Gastropoda; Aplysiida; Aplysiidae
Description: uncharacterized LOC101849713, transcript variant X5
Source: RNAcentral
UACCCACAAGGUGGGUCAAGAUGCAAUUGACAAGGUGUCCGAUGGUAACUUAGAAUAGGAUCAGGUGAUCGCAGGCCUAUGGCUUGUGGCGGCUCGUAUCACAGAACAGAUGGCUAAACUGUAAAAUGUACCUGCACUUGCUCCGAGCUGAGUUUCAAGUUGUUUAGAACCUGAAAAUCAACUCAGACAUCGGUCCACGAUUGUCAUUCAACUCAACUACGGGAACUUCUACUUCCCCUCCAUCAUCAGCCAGACGGUUAGAUCUAUCUCCAUUGAAGUCUAAGAAUUCCUCGUCCAAUGAUGAUCCUGGCACUGGCCCAUGCGUCUCUUCACCGGCCACCUUUCCAGUGGCUGCUACAGUUGGAGCCUCGCUGUCAGAAAAUGGGAGGACCAGAGACAGUUUCCUGAGACUCUGUGCGGGUUGAGCACCACAGAUGGAUCAUUUCUGCUUUUAAAAUGUUACGUAGCUCGACGUACCAGGGAAAAUCCUGAAAAACCAAGAACAGUUGAGAUUUUGGGGGGGGGGGUUUGGUACAUGUUUGUAUUUGUCGCGUGUCUCUUUUUCGGGUACAUGCCAUAUUACUGAUCUUAUUUGUGUCAGACAAAAUUAUUCACGAGAAUGUGAGUAAGUAAGGGAACAUUCUCUUGUAAGAAAAGUGUAAGAAUCAGGGGGUGGUCUUGAACCAAUGUAAUAGUAAUAUUACACUUUUUUUCGAUCCCGAGGUGUUAACUUUAUCAAAAUUCUACUGUAAUUUGGGGGUGUUUUGACAUUGACAUGCAUCUCAAUUUUUUUUCUUAUUAGUAA